AUACGAAGGGUGCGAGCGUUAAUCGGAAUUACUGGGCGUAAAGCGCGCGUAGGCGGUUGGAUAAGUCGGAUGUGAAAGCCCCGGGCUCAACCUGGGAAUUGCAUUCGAAACUGUCCGGCUAGAGUAUGGUAGAGGGAAGCGGAAUUCCACAUGUAGCGGUGAAAUGCGUAGAUAUGUGGAGGAACACCAGUGGCGAAGGCGGCUUCCUGGACCAAUUCUGACGCUGAGGUGCGAAAGCGUGGGGAGCAAACAGGAUUAGAUACCCUAGUAGUCC
RNAcentral lists this ribosomal RNA (274 nucleotides) under uncultured bacterium. RNAcentral describes it as "partial 16S ribosomal RNA". It matches the Rfam family "Bacterial small subunit ribosomal RNA", at positions 523 to 796 of the family's 1533-position model. The record is from RNAcentral.